AUUAUAAUUAUUGUUACCUGUGGUAACGCCACCAUGAUAUAACAUUUGUAUAUGUGGCAUUACCAGUUUUAUUAACUGUAUUUUAAAUAACUUGUAUUAAAUAUAAGCAUUGUAAAUAUUGAAACGGACAGCAGAUGGCGCCACCACUCAAAAUAAGUAUAAAAACCCACCCUCGUUCACACUCACUUCCUCUGUCUCCACACUGGCGUCUUCCGGCCUGGAAGUGUGUGCUGGCUGUUCCAUGGGUCCAGCGUCGCGGGUGGUUGAGAGCCUCAACGCGCACCACUCCUUGGCGUCCAUUGCUCUCUCGGCGUUUCUGGCCCGGGGUCUGCUGGGGCCGUUGCGUAACCAGGGGCUAUCGAAGCACCGCGCCGGCCGAGUAGGGCUAGAUGUGGGCGUGCGAUGGUAAGCUUGCCUUGCCUCGUGGCUAGCCUUUCUGAUACAAUAAUUUAACCACCUCUUUUCAAUUAGAUGGACCUACCAUGCUGCUGUCUUGUUUCCUCCCUGUUGUUUUGUAUAAACUGAAAAGCUAAUGGAAAAACAACGUGAACUGUGAACCAACUGAAAGCUAUGUUAACGCUGUGAAAUGAAACGAAACGUGUGUCAACUAAAGUACAAAGAGAAACCAACGUGAAACAUAGAAAUAAACUAUGUACAAGGAACAUGCUGCCUCUGUCCUUAUGGGUCGAACCUGUGUGCCUUAAAGCACAUUUUUUCCAGUUUACACUGGAUGGCGUUGUCGGGCUUUUAUUUAUUUUAUGUGACAUGACGUCAUGUCACAUAUAAUAAUCCUUGAACAAAGUAACAGUGAAGCUGAAUGUAUUAAGCUCUGAAUGGGGAACUGGGGGUGGGAUUAAAUAAGUUAUCAUCUUCCCACUCCCUUUCAGGUAGACAUGGGUCAUCUUGUUUAAAUACUGUAUAUUCUUUUUUUGUUGCACAAAUGACUUAACUAUAUUUUGUCUUUUUGAAGUAAAUGAAUGAAUGAAAUAAUGCUGACUGGCAUUUUGUAGGUAACACAAUCCAAC
Molecule: long non-coding RNA, 1025 nt
Filed under: Neogobius melanostomus (round goby)
Lineage: Eukaryota; Metazoa; Chordata; Actinopteri; Gobiiformes; Gobiidae
Description: lncRNA (ENSNMLG00000013713.1)
Source: RNAcentral